RNAcentral lists this long non-coding RNA (272 nucleotides) under Mytilus galloprovincialis (Mediterranean mussel). Lineage: Eukaryota; Metazoa; Mollusca; Bivalvia; Mytilida; Mytilidae. The record is from RNAcentral.
CUCCAAUACUUUGCACUUGAUUAUAAAGUGUUCACGAUCUUCAGGUUCAUGCUUACAUAGUUGACAAAUUGGACUCACGGAUUGCCUGCUAAAUUUAGCUCUGUCUUGUUGAAGUGUGUAUGUUCCACAAGCUAGUUUGGAUUUUAUGUUACAACGUUUGACAGCAAAUGGCUCAGCUCCCCCGCUAAACCAAAUGUUAUGAGUUUUUCCAAUAAUUGUAUCCUCAAUAUUAAGUAAUUUUAGAGUUGAUUUUUCUUUUGCGUCAGUUUUUA